RNAcentral lists this ribosomal RNA (755 nucleotides) under uncultured bacterium. RNAcentral's name for it is "bacterial SSU rRNA". It matches the Rfam family "Bacterial small subunit ribosomal RNA", at positions 28 to 776 of the family's 1533-position model. The record is from RNAcentral.
AUUGAACGCUGGCGGCAGGCUUAACACAUGCAAGUCGAGCGGAAACGAUGAUAGCUUGCUAUCAGGCGUCGAGCGGCGGACGGGUGAGUAAUACUUAGGAAUCUACCUAGUAGUGGGGGAUAGCACGGGGAAACUCGUAUUAAUACCGCAUACGACCUACGGGAGAAAGGGGGCAGUUUACUGCUCUCGCUAUUAGAUGAGCCUAAGUCGGAUUAGCUAGAUGGUGGGGUAAAGGCCUACCAUGGCGACGAUCUGUAGCUGGUCUGAGAGGAUGAUCAGCCACACCGGGACUGAGACACGGCCCGGACUCCUACGGGAGGCAGCAGUGGGGAAUAUUGGACAAUGGGGGAAACCCUGAUCCAGCCAUGCCGCGUGUGUGAAGAAGGCCUUUUGGUUGUAAAGCACUUUAAGCAGUGAAGAAGACUCCUCGGUUAAUACCCGUGGACGAUGACAUUAGCUGCAGAAUAAGCACCGGCUAACUCUGUGCCAGCAGCCGCGGUAAUACAGAGGGUGCAAGCGUUAAUCGGAAUUACUGGGCGUAAAGCGAGCGUAGGUGGCUUGAUAAGUCAGAUGUGAAAUCCCCGGGCUUAACCUGGGAACUGCAUCUGAAACUGUUAGGCUAGAGUAGGUGAGAGGGAAGUAGAAUUUCAGGUGUAGCGGUGAAAUGCGUAGAGAUCUGAAGGAAUACCGAUGGCGAAGGCAGCUUCCUGGCAUCAUACUGACACUGAGGCUCGAAAGCGUGGGUAGCAAACAGG